This 468-nucleotide ribosomal RNA is filed under the name uncultured bacterium. RNAcentral describes it as "partial 16S ribosomal RNA". It matches the Rfam family "Bacterial small subunit ribosomal RNA", at positions 28 to 507 of the family's 1533-position model. The record is from RNAcentral.
GACGAACGCUGGCGGCGUGCUUAACACAUGCAAGUCGAACGGAAAGGCCCCGCUUUGGUGGUGUGCUCGUGUCGCGAACGGGUGUGUAACACGUGUGUAAUCUGCCCUUGACUGUGGGAUAACUUCAGGACACUGGGGAUUAUCCCGGAUAGGCGCUUCUUCCGCAUGGUGGGGUUGGGAAAUUCUCGGGGGUUGGGUGUGGACUCGCGGCUUUUCAGCUUUUUGGUGGGGUAGUGCUUUACCAGGGCUUUGACGGGUAGCCGGCUUGAGAGGGUGACCGGCCAAAUUGGGCUUGGAUUACGGCCCAGACUCCUAGGGGAGGCAGCAGUGGGGAAUAUUGCACAAGGGGCGGAGGCCUGAUGCAGCAACGCCGCGUGCGGGAUACCGGCCUCCGGGUGUUAACCCGCUUUGGCCUGUGAGGAACCGUGUGUGACGGUAAUGGGUAAAGAAGCACCGGCUAACUACGUG